AAACGACUCUCGGCAACGGAUAUCUCGGCUCUCGCAUCGAUGAAGAACGUAGCGAAAUGCGAUACUUGGUGUGAAUUGCAGAAUCCCGUGAACCAUCGAGUCUUUGAACGCAAGUUGCGCCCGAGGCCUCUUGGUCGAGGGCACGUCUGCCUGGGUGUCACGC
RNAcentral lists this ribosomal RNA (163 nucleotides) under Populus trichocarpa (black cottonwood). Its description in RNAcentral is "5.8S ribosomal RNA". It matches the Rfam family "5.8S ribosomal RNA". From Rfam's summary of the family: 5.8S ribosomal RNA (5.8S rRNA) is a component of the large subunit of the eukaryotic ribosome. It is transcribed by RNA polymerase I as part of the 45S precursor that also contains 18S and 28S rRNA. RNAcentral also lists the same sequence under 15 other names. The record is from RNAcentral. Lineage: Eukaryota; Viridiplantae; Streptophyta; Magnoliopsida; Malpighiales; Salicaceae.